Molecule: ribosomal RNA, 502 nt
Filed under: uncultured bacterium
Lineage: Bacteria
Description: partial 16S ribosomal RNA
Rfam family: Bacterial small subunit ribosomal RNA
Source: RNAcentral
GACGAACGCUGGCGGCGUGCCUAAUACAUGCAAGUCGAACGAACCGCGACUAGGUGCUUGCACUUGGUCAAGGUGAGUGGCGAACGGGUGAGUAACACGUGGGUAACCUACCUCAUAGUGGGGGAUAACAGUCGGAAACGACUGCUAAUACCGCAUAGGACAUAGGAUCACAUGAUCCAGUGAGGAAAGGUGGCGCAAGCUAUCGCUAAGAGAUGGACCCGCGGUGCAUUAGCUAGUUGGUAGGGUAAAGGCCUACCAAGGCGAUGAUGCAUAGCCGACCUGAGAGGGUGAUCGGCCACAUUGGGACUGAGACACGGCCCAAACUCCUACGGGAGGCAGCAGUAGAGAAUCUUCCGCAAUGGACGCAAGUCUGACGGAGCAACGCCGCGUGAGUGAAGAAGGUCUUCGGAUCGUAAAGCUCUGUUGUUAGAGAAGAACAGCGCAUAGAGUAACUGUUAUGCGUGUGACGGUAUCUAACCAGAAAGCCACGGCUAACUACGUG